RNAcentral lists this ribosomal RNA (846 nucleotides) under uncultured bacterium. RNAcentral describes it as "bacterial SSU rRNA". It matches the Rfam family "Bacterial small subunit ribosomal RNA", at positions 1 to 894 of the family's 1533-position model. The record is from RNAcentral.
GCUUAGAGUUUGAUCCUGGCUCAGGAUGAACGCUGGCGGUAUGCCUAACACAUGCAAGUCGAACGAAGUCUUCGGACUUAGUGGCGGACGGGUGAGUAACGCGUGAGAACCUGCCUCCAGGCUGGGGACAACAGUUGGAAACGACUGCUAAUACCCAAUGUGCCGAAAGGUGAAAGAUUUAUCACCUGGAGAGGGGCUCGCGUCCGAUUAGCUAGUUGGUGGGGUAAGAGCCUACCAAGGCGUCGAUCGGUAGCUGGUCUGAGAGGAUGAGCAGCCACACUGGGACUGAGACACGGCCCAGACUCCUACGGGAGGCAGCAGUGGGGAAUUUUCCGCAAUGGGCGAAAGCCUGACGGAGCAAUACCGCGUGAGGGAGGAAGGCUUUUGGGUUGUAAACCUCUUUUCUUAAGGAAGAAGAUCUGACGGUACUUAAGGAAUCAGCAUCGGCUAACUCCGUGCCAGCAGCCGCGGUAAUACGGAGGAUGCAAGCGUUAUCCGGAAUUAUUGGGCGUAAAGCGUCCGCAGGUGGCCUUUCAAGUCUGCUGUCAAAGACCAGAGCUCAACUCUGGGCCGGCGGUGGAAACUGGGAGGCUAGAGUACGGUAGGGGUAGAGGGAAUUCCCAGUGUAGCGGUGAAAUGCGUAGAGAUUGGGAAGAACACCAGUGGCGAAGGCGCUCUACUGGACCGAAACUGACACUCAGGGACGAAAGCUAGGGGAGCGAAAGGGAUUAGAUACCCCUGUAGUCCUAGCUGUAAACGAUGGAUACUAGGCGUUGCUUGUAUCGACUCGAGCAGUGCCGAAGCCAACGCGUUAAGUAUCCCGCCUGGGGAGUACGCACGCAAGUG